GACGAACGCUGGCGGCGUGCUUAACACAUGCAAGUCGAACGGAAAGGCCCUGCUUUUGUGGGGUGCUCGAGUGGCGAACGGGUGAGUAACACGUGAGUAACCUGCCCUUGACUUUUGGAUAACUUCAGGAAACUGGGGCUAAUACCGGAUAGGAGCUCCUGCUGCAUGGUGGGGGUUGGAAAGUUUCGGCGGUUGGGGAUGGACUCGCGGCUUAUCAGCUUGUUGGUGGGGUAGUGGCUUACCAAGGCUUUGACGGGUAGCCGGCCUGAGAGGGUGACCGGCCACAUUGGGACUGAGAUACGGCCCAGACUCCUACGGGAGGCAGCAGUGGGGAAUAUUGCACAAUGGGCGGAAGCCUGAUGCAGCAGCGCCGCGUGCGGGAUGACGGCCUUCGGGUUGUAAACCGCUUUCGCCUGUGACGAAGCGUGAGUGACGGUAAUGGGUAAAGAAGCACCGGCUAACUACGUG
Molecule: ribosomal RNA, 468 nt
Filed under: uncultured bacterium
Lineage: Bacteria
Description: partial 16S ribosomal RNA
Rfam family: Bacterial small subunit ribosomal RNA
Source: RNAcentral